GACGAACUGUGCGAACGUUAUUCGGAAUCACUGGGCUUACAGGGUGCGUAGGCGGUCAUCUAAGUCCGAUGUGAAAUCCCCCGGCUCAACCGGGGAAUUGCGUUGGAAACUGGACGGCUUGAGUGAGGUAGGGGCGCGUGGAACUUCCGGUGGAGCGGUGAAAUGUGUUGAUAUCGGAAGGAACGCCGGUGGCGAAAGCGGCGCGCUGGGCCUCAACUGACGCUGAGGCACGAAAGCCAGGGGAGCGAACGGG
This 253-nucleotide unclassified non-coding RNA is filed under the name uncultured Planctomycetales bacterium. Its description in RNAcentral is "contains 16S-23S intergenic spacer region". It matches the Rfam family "Bacterial small subunit ribosomal RNA", at positions 524 to 776 of the family's 1533-position model. Lineage: Bacteria; Pseudomonadati; Planctomycetota; Planctomycetia; Planctomycetales. The record is from RNAcentral.